This 449-nucleotide ribosomal RNA is filed under the name uncultured Hyphomicrobiaceae bacterium. RNAcentral's name for it is "bacterial SSU rRNA". It matches the Rfam family "Bacterial small subunit ribosomal RNA", at positions 30 to 523 of the family's 1533-position model. Lineage: Bacteria; Pseudomonadati; Pseudomonadota; Alphaproteobacteria; Hyphomicrobiales; Hyphomicrobiaceae. The record is from RNAcentral.
CGAACGCUGGCGGCAGGCCUAACACAUGCAAGUCGAGCGCCCGUAGCAGUACGGGAGCGGCAGACGGGUGAGUAACGCGUGGGAACGUGCCCUUUAGUUCGGAAUAACUCAGGGAAACUUGAGCUAAUACCGAAUACGCCCUUCGGGGGAAAGAUUUAUCGCUAAAGGAUCGGCCCGCGUAAGAUUAGCUAGUUGGUGAGGUAACGGCUCACCAAGGCUAUGAUCUUUAGCUGUUCUGAGAGGAAGAUCAGCCACACUGGGACUGAGACACGGCCCAGACUCCUACGGGAGGCAGCAGUGGGGAAUAUUGGACAAUGGGCGCAAGCCUGAUCCAGCCAUGCCGCGUGAGUGAUGAAGGCCUUAGGGUUGUAAAGCUCUUUUACCAGGGAAGAUAAUGACGGUACCUGGAGAAUAAGCCCCGGCUAACUUCGUGCCAGCAGCCGCGUUAC